Long non-coding RNA from Cydia fagiglandana, 142 nucleotides. RefSeq lists it as uncharacterized. The transcript has 4 exons. The record is from RefSeq and is a predicted model, not a curated record. Lineage: Eukaryota; Metazoa; Arthropoda; Insecta; Lepidoptera; Tortricidae.
GACGAUGGGCCCAGCGAGAUGCACAUUGCUUGCGAUAACAUCAUUAACUUUGGUCGUCGUAAUAAAUGGAGGGCGAGCACGAUAUCAUAAUGAUGAUUACUAUAUCAUUCCCGAGGAGCAUUUUCAAAAAAAACCUGGAGAG